RNAcentral lists this unclassified non-coding RNA (345 nucleotides) under soil metagenome. RNAcentral's name for it is "partial contains 5.8S ribosomal RNA, internal transcribed spacer 2, and large subunit ribosomal RNA". The stretch from base 1 to 120 matches the Rfam family "5.8S ribosomal RNA", at positions 35 to 154 of the family's 154-position model. The record is from RNAcentral.
GAUGAAGAACGUAGUGAAAUGCGAUACGUAAUGUGAAUUGCAGAAUUCAGUGAAUCAUUGAGUCUUUGAACGCACAUUGCGCCCCCUGGUAUUCCGGGGGGCAUGCCUGUCCGAGCGUCAUUGCUGCCCUCAAGCACGGCUUGUGUGUUGGGCCUCCGUCCUCCUCCCGGGGGACGGGCCCGAAAGGCAGCGGCGGCACCGCGUCCGGUCCUCGAGCGUAUGGGGCUUCGUCACCCGCUCUUGUAGGCCCGGCCGGCGCUUGCCGACACAUCAAUCUUUUUUCCAGGUUGACCUCGGAUCAGGUAGGGAUACCCGCUGAACUUAAGCAUAUCAAUAAGCGGAGGA